CCAAAAUAAAAACUAUUCAAGAAGUCAGCUGCUGCUAUAAAGGUCAUCUGGAAAGUCCAGGGAAGGGCCCUGAGCUGCUGCUGGGAAAGGGAAAUUGUCCUCUGGCCCGUGAUCUGGCGUGUUUGUCUGCUGAGUGGCUUUAGUGGUUUCAUCUAUUGCUGAAGAGCCAAGAGAAAGGAAUAAAACAGGAUUGUAAUCCACACCACAAUGAGCAAGAUGAGAAGAUCAGCCAAAGAACACAGUGAAGUAAACAAAGGAGUCUUUUACUAAAGCUGAUUGAGAAUAGAGUGCCAAGGAAAAGGGAAAGCUGAGUUUGCCUGGAAGGAUAAAACAAUAAUGCUGACUAAAUGCCUCACCUCCUAUCAUCUUCAAAGCCACAUGAGGUACACAGGGAAGAAGCUUUUCUCCUUAAUGAAUUAAAAAUGAUUGGAGGUGGUUUACAAAGAUUGCGCCUAAAGG
Molecule: long non-coding RNA, 459 nt
Organism: Mustela erminea (ermine)
Lineage: Eukaryota; Metazoa; Chordata; Mammalia; Carnivora; Mustelidae
Exons: 3
Source: RefSeq, a predicted model, not a curated record